UACGUAGGGUGCGAGCGUUGUCCGGAAUUAUUGGGCGUAAAGAGCUCGUAGGCGGUUUGUCGCGUCGUCUGUGAAAUUCUGCAACUCAAUUGUAGGCGUGCAGGCGAUACGGGCAGACUUGAGUACUACAGGGGAGACUGGAAUUCCUGGUGUAGCGGUGAAAUGCGCAGAUAUCAGGAGGAACACCGGGUGGCGAAGGCGGGUCUCUGGGCCGAUACUGACGCUGAGGAGCGAAAGCGUGGGGAGCGAACAGG
This 254-nucleotide ribosomal RNA is filed under the name uncultured bacterium. Its description in RNAcentral is "partial 16S ribosomal RNA". It matches the Rfam family "Bacterial small subunit ribosomal RNA", at positions 524 to 776 of the family's 1533-position model. The record is from RNAcentral.